Long non-coding RNA from Saccostrea cuccullata (small rock oyster), 505 nucleotides. RefSeq lists it as uncharacterized. The record is from RefSeq and is a predicted model, not a curated record. The transcript is spliced from 2 exons. NCBI's taxonomy places the organism in Eukaryota, Metazoa, Mollusca, Bivalvia, Ostreida, Ostreidae.
GCCUUCACCUUGCAGUUUGUGAAAAAAAACCGCGUCUGACUCGGAACGUCUGCGAGAGAUGUAUAAAUGUAAUGGAUGUUUUGACAGGAAUGCACUAAGCUCAAACACGAGAACAUGAGAAAGAUGAAAAGUACCUUCAAAAACAAGCCCUCCAACUUCGACCCCUCCUUCAAUGCCAACGAAAUUUGGGGCGUCUUGGAACACGUCCAGAAUUUUCUGUGAUAUGGCAUCAACUGGGGGUGGAGCCGGACCACCACCGGUCUUCAUACGAUGUGUUUUCUGGCUGACGAUUUCCCCCUUCGCUUUGGAACAAGCCUUUCUAUACUUCUCCUUGAUUUGAUCGACUGUUCUCACAAUCUCACCCCUUGAAUUUACCGCUUCCGUAAUCUCACGCCAGGCAGCAGCCUUUUUGACAUUUGUUACUUGGUUUGUAUGUUUCGAUUUUAUAAGCUCAAUAUGUUUUUCCACCUGUUCCACCAAAAAUAAAGUUUCAUCAGCUGAAAAA